MicroRNA precursor from Brassica oleracea var. oleracea, 126 nucleotides. It matches the Rfam family "MIR9563 microRNA precursor family". The record is from Rfam. NCBI's taxonomy places the organism in Eukaryota, Viridiplantae, Streptophyta, Magnoliopsida, Brassicales, Brassicaceae.
AUGUUCUUAGCAGCUGUUUCUUAACUUUUAACUAAAAAUGUUAAGAACGGGUUCUUAAAUAAGGACUUUAAGAACCGGUUCUUACCUUUUUUAGUUAAAAGUUAAGAAACAGCCCGCUAAGAACCU